Vespa mandarinia (Asian giant hornet) is the source of this 5468-nucleotide long non-coding RNA. NCBI's taxonomy places the organism in Eukaryota, Metazoa, Arthropoda, Insecta, Hymenoptera, Vespidae. The record is from RefSeq and is a predicted model, not a curated record.
AGCAACCUCCAAGUGGUGAGACCCGGGCAAUCGAUAUUAUUUGCGAUCAAAUAAUUAUUAUAAAAAAAUGUAACGCAAAUGAUGUCGAGCUAAUGGCUGCCUAAAUUCAAUCAAAAUUUUCAUGUUCUAUUAUUGAUUCCUUUCGAUUCUUAUGACUUUUUUUUCUAAUGAUGAAAUAACUAAUUAAAUUUAUCGAAGUAUCGAAUAUUUUUCUAAAACGAUAUUUUUAAAUAUAAAAUUUGUAAAAAUUAUGUAUAAUAUAAAUACAUUGACGUUAUCAUUACUUGUAAACGUUGAAAGUUUUAAAUGGAAAGGAUCAUUUAUUCUCAACGUUGUCCGAUCCUUUACAAUUUACAAGGUCGUAAAGAUAGUACUUGCAUGGUGAAAAGCAUUUUGUGAAAGCCAAGGAUAAGAUCUUAUUAUACACGUGAUUUUGAUGGAAUACGAAUGUCAAUGAUUUUUGAAUGACCCGAUGAGAAUGAUACUUUCAUUUUUAAAAAUUUGUUUAUGUACAAAAGUGCACGAACAAAUAGCCAACGGACAUUACUUAAGUAUUAAAAAGACGGACUUGUGAUAUUGCGUAAACGUUUAUGCGUACAAGCAGAGAAAGAGAGAGAAAGAUAGAGAAAGAUAGAGGGAGAGAGACAGAGAGAGAGAAUGAGUGAGUGGGCGUACACAGCGGCGAUGAAACGCGAGAAGCUCGACGCAAUUUGCGUGGCGAUAUAUAUCGACCUCGUCUGGUUAUAUCGUUUCGUAAAAAAGAUCUCUCGUAGUUAACUGGCAGAUAAUUUCAUGGCAAUUUCAGCGGUUACUUCGAACCGCCACUCUUUCUCUCUCUUUCUCUCUCUUUCUCUCUGUCUCUCUCUCCCUAUCUCUUUCAUGCUUUCUUCGUUUUCUCAGUACCUCUCACUUUCUCAUACACCCACUAAUCGAGCUCGUUUACCUUCUACAAGCAUUCACAUACCUUCAUCUUUCUCUCACUUGUAGAUUGUAAGGAACGUUUAACUCUCUCACGUGAUACGUACUAUAAGUACGUAUUUAAAUCAGAAGUUGUACGAUCUAGAUUAGAAGAAAUUCUUUUUGAGAAAUAUCAAAAAAAUUCUGAUCAUUUUAUUUGAUGUGUUAAAAUCUUUUAUAUUUAUUAUAUAAAUUUAUACGUAUAGUAAUAGAAAGAGAGAGAGAGAGAGAGAGAGAGAGAAAGAAAGAGAAUAUUUGCUAUCGAUGAAACACGUGAGAGAAGGUAUUCAAGUUGCCUGAAGCCUCGAUAUAUAUCUUUUAGUGGAAAUUCAUUUUGAAAUACUAAGAAACAUACGUCUCACUUGACGAGUUUCGAUGAAGUCGGCAUGGAAAUGAGUCUCUCGGUCGUUCGCCUUCAUCGAUCAUCAUUAUCACCUGUUAGCAAUCAUUACACACCGUUCUCGUUACCAAAUUAUCUGAUGGAUUAUAGAAAAUAGAAGAAAUCAUUUAGUUCUCCUUUUCUAUUUAUUUCUUUUCUCUCUCUUUUUUUUUUAAUUUUUUUUUUCUUUCCUUAAAUAUUAUUCCUUUCUUCGUUAGAUUUAAAUGUUUGGAUAGAAAUAAUAAUCAUUUAGAUCAAUUUUUAUUUAUUUUGAUCGUGAACGUUUUAGAAAUUGCUUGGAUGGAAAAUUUCAAUGCUCCCAUCUUAAUGGGUUUCUAUAAAUCAAUAUCUUAUAAAACAAGAACAUGGUCUGUUUCAAGCUGGCAGAUUCAUAGAAUCUUCUUCGCGUGUAAUCGUUUAUUUUAUUUACGGAUUUCUCUUCUCUAUCAUGAAUUCUUCUAUUUCGAUUAGAGUCAAGUACUCCCUGGCGCCUGGUAUUAAUCCCUCCGGCAACGGCAAAUUUAUUUUUCGAUACUCGAGUGGUCGACUAACGUUUGUGAGCAAAAAAGAAAAAAGAAAAAAGAAAAAAAAAAAAGAAAAAAGAAAGUAAAAGAAAAAGAAGAAAACGAAAACGAAAGAAAACGGUUUAGUUGGUCUCGAUGGCAAAACGAAACCAGAUUGCGUUUCGUCUGUCGAUAAAUUCUUUUUUACAUUCCACUCUACCAUCACGUACGAGAAAAAUAAUUACGCGUUAGAGUUAUAUAGACAGGGAGCUAUUUAAAACUGAAUUUGUUUUCAAAUUCGUCGAAUUUUUCGAGUUUAUUUAUCAAGCAGUAAGACUUCCGGUUCAUUGACCUUUCUUUUCUUUUUUUCUCUUUCUUUCUUUCUUUCUUUUUUUUUUUUUUUUCUUUUUUUUUCUUUUUCUUUUGAUACGACAGAACGUUACGUGACUUGGCAAAUAAGAAUGAAAAAGGAAGGAGAAAAGAGAAUUGCGUUGAAACACGCGAUUAAUGGUGCCAAUUCAAUUAUCAGAGACGACGAGCUUGCCAGCUCGUAAAUCGUUCUCGUUCGUCGGACUCGUCAUUCUUGAAGAAGGUGUUCGAGAAACUAUCCUACAAUGAUGUGGUCAUCGUAGCGAGAGAGAGAGAGAGAGAGAGAGAGAGAGAGAGAGACAGAGAGAGAAUAGAAAAGAAAAGAAAAGAAAAGAAAGAAGAAGAAGAAGAAGAGGAAGAAGAGGAAGAAGAGGAAGAGAAGAAAAAAAAAAGAAGGAAGGAAGGAAGGAAGGAAAAGUAUAACAUAUUUUACGAUCGACUCUGACAAACGAGUUGAGGACCCCUGUCGAGGAAGACUUCCUCUUGAACGCCCAUGCCCUACGCCCACGUAUCCAGACUCGAGAGGGAAAUACGAAGACGAAGACUUCGGGAGAGUCUUAACUCACGGACGUAAGGAUCGUGGGAUAGAAGAGAGCUCGGAUAAAGCUUGUCACGUGUCACCUGCGAAAGGAAUACUUGUAGGUAUGCAGAAGAUGUAGGUAUCCGUUUCGGCGUAACAUAAAAGAGAAGAAGCUCUUCCAGUCCUCUUGUAAAACGCUGUCACCAUAAUGAUCGAUGUCGCAUCUGUCGCAAUGUGAACCAACUACACCCUCAGAACACCUGCACUCGCCGGUUACGGGAUCACAAAGUUCGUCGAGGGCACCCACAUCGCAUUCGCAUAGUUGGCAACGUGCACUCACGUUUCCGUAACCCUCAAUACAGAAGGAACAGUCACGACCAGAGAACAAAGGCUUGCAGGGACACUGACCGCUCAUCCGAUCGCAAUGAACGAAACCACUGCCAAUCGGGUCACAAUCGCAUGCUAAAACGAAAAAUGACAAUUUUGACGUAAUGGAUCCCCAUAAUGAGCCUCCUUACAUCUUUCACAUUUCCAACCUUCGGUAUUUCCACGGCAUUCUAAACAACGUCCUGUUUCCUGAUCGCACGGUCCACCUGAGCAAGGACAUCGCUUACAGGAUAACUAUAUAUUAUAUCAUACCUUUCACAAUGAUCGCCUGUAUAUCCUUCGGGACAUUGAGUGCAAACAUAGCCGCUAUUAUCAUCCGUGGGAUCCUCCAAUUGACAACUUGGACUGAAAUUAUUUGACUCGAUGGACAAUGGACAAGCACAUUUUUUACAAUCUUCCGAUGUCCCUUUCGUUGCAAUCCCAUAAUAUCCUGUUGAACAUCGAUCGCAUUUUGGACCGACCGUAUAAUGCUCACAGCUUACCUUACAUUCGCCCAUAACAAGAUCGCAAGAGGAAGCAUGACCAUUGCAAUCACACUCAACGCAAAUUUGAUAAUCCUGAUGAUUAGAACCAUUGCUCGUCACUUUCACGUAUCCCCAGGAACAAUUCUCGCAAGAUAGACCUGUAUAUCCUUUAGGACACUCACAGAUCUCUACGAGACUUUGACUACCAUCUUCCGUUCGUACGGGAUCACCUACCGGAAGGAUUGCAGAUAGAAGACUGAAAUAAUAAAUUAAGAUAAUCAUUAAAAAUGAAUAUAGAUUGGAUGGAGUAAUCAGGAAAUGGAAAAUGUUAUGAUUAUCGUCAUACCUUCCUUCGAUUUGUUCGGAAUGAUAUUGUGCUCUAAUCAUGAGAUAUUUUAAAUCAGCUAAUACAUGCAUCAUUUGAAUUCUACUGACAGAAUCGCCGCGAAAAUCGGUUCUCCUUAGUCUUGUAGGAAUGUCUCGGACUUCACUUCGCACGUGGUACCAGCCUUGCUCGGUCAAGGCCACGGAUAUCUCCGCCUCCUGACCGUUAUACUGUUCCUCGCCUUUAACGAGUACCAAGAACCGAUGGCAAUACCAAGACGACAGCAAAAGGGAAUUCUUUUCUAUAAACCGCGUAGACCGACACUUUCCAGCCCUGAGAAACGAUCGAUAAAGAUCGAAGGAAGCGAUACGCAGGCGAUAGGUUUUGACAGAAAGGCAAGGUAAGAUCAUCGAUCCAAGCAAGUCGCAGGCGCAAACAGGUUGCUGUGGUCGCGAGAACGCGCCAGGAGAAGAGAUCGUGAAAGCAUCGAACAGGUUCGCAGGAGGUUCCAGAGAAGAGUGAGCACGCCCGCGAACAGCUUCAAAAGAUAAUAGCUCGCGCGCAUGCGCUCGGACCGGCCGAAUGUAUUCUCGAGUAUCAAGUCAAAAUGAUGAUGAUGGGGUUUGAACGACGUCGACGCCUCGAAGCUAAAGAGAGAAGAAAAGGAGAUGAGUUGCAGAUAAACGCUGCAACGAGGGAUAAGAGAGAAGAAGAUAAAAAAGGCAGUGAAAGAGAAAGAGAGAAAGAGAGAGAGAGAGAGAGAGAGAGAGAAAGAUGACAGAUUAUACAAUAUUGCCAGCUAACAUCAGAGCUAAGUUCCCGGAAGCAUGAGGUCAUCUCUGGCGAGCUAACAACUUCCUCUUAACUCCAAAAUGAAGAUGCUUUCUCUUGGGAAACGUAAACGACGAUCGCGAUUCGACGUUUCUUAAAGAGAUAAUCUACAUUGAGAUUUAAGAAACCAAGUGUUUUUUUAUCGAGAGUGCCUCUCGUUUGACUGAACAGGAUCAUCCAUUAAAUACUAUGAGAAUACGAGCUCGUUAUCAUCGUAUUAAUAAUAAUUCAUAGGAAGAGAAAUAACGUUCAGAUUGACCGGAGAUUGACGGGGGAAGAAUAUUGUACAAGACAAAGGAGUCCCAUAUGAAGGCACACGCACGGAAGUCAACUGUCCGUGGACGACAAAUCGUUUAACUUCAAUAUGACUCAUGGUACACUUCGUUGGAUAAUAUAAUUAUUCUUCGAGUUCAUCAAAGCAGCAUGAAAUCUUAUCAGAAGGAUGGGAACACUUGGAAAUCAUCGGACCAUCAAUUUAAGAGACACAAAGAAUACAAAAUUAAAAGAAUACAGAAUUAUCAUCAAGAGGAUAUGGAACAAUCGGAAAUCAUUUGUAACAUUAUAAAAUGCAAUUAUCUGUAAAAUAAAACAUUGUGAAAGAGAAAAAAUGAGAGAGACAGAGAUUGUGUAUGUGUGUAUGUGUGUGUGUGUGUGUGUCAGAGAGAGAGUGUGUGAGAGAGACAAAAAAAGAGAGAAAGAGAGAGUUAAACUGCAUUAUAGCUAUUCUUAACGA